RNAcentral lists this unclassified non-coding RNA (360 nucleotides) under Zea mays. RNAcentral describes it as "misc RNA Zm00001eb180700". Lineage: Eukaryota; Viridiplantae; Streptophyta; Magnoliopsida; Poales; Poaceae. The record is from RNAcentral.
GCUCUUCUGGUCGCAGCUGAUGAUGCAGAGCGGCAGGUCAGCGCCCUGCUUGCCCAUGCAUCCGAACGAACAGCCGAACACCUGCGUGAAGCAGCCCAUAAGGCACUGGAUGAUGCCGUUCAGCUGCCCCGGGGACGCCGAUGCUGGCGUCGUCAGCAGCGCCGCCGCGUUGCUGUCGCCGCUGCUGAAGGCAACGGUGGCACUCGCCCCGGCGGCCGCGCCGGCCAGCGCGACGAAGAGAAGCACGAGCAAGGAGCCGGUGCUGGCGCGAGCACUGCCGGUCAUCGCCGCGGCCAUGGUCGUGUGUGCGGGAGGGCGUCGUCGAAUGACGGUGAGCGAGCUUCACUGAUGCUGGGGAGG